UGAGGAACAUGACCUUCGGCGGGGGAUAGCCGGCCCAACGGCCGGGUAAUACCGCGUACGACCACAUGGGGACAUCCCUGAGUGGUGAAAGCAGCAAUGCGCCGAUGGAGUGCCUCGCGGCCUAUCAGCUAGUUGGUGAGGUAACGGCUCACCAAGGCGACGACGGGUAGCUGGUCUGAGAGGAUGGCCAGCCACAUUGGGACUGAGACACCGGCCCAGACCUCGUAACCGGGGAGG
RNAcentral lists this ribosomal RNA (237 nucleotides) under uncultured bacterium. RNAcentral's name for it is "partial 16S ribosomal RNA". It matches the Rfam family "Bacterial small subunit ribosomal RNA", at positions 118 to 347 of the family's 1533-position model. The record is from RNAcentral.